Molecule: long non-coding RNA, 454 nt
Filed under: Homo sapiens (human)
Lineage: Eukaryota; Metazoa; Chordata; Mammalia; Primates; Hominidae
Description: non-protein coding lnc-BACE2-5:1
Source: RNAcentral
GGUUACCUAGACUUCCUCCUAUAUUAUCUUUUAGUAGUUGUAUUGUUUUGCACUUUAUAUGUGGGUCUCUAAUCAAUUUUGAGUUUUUUUGUUGUUGUUGUUAAAGCACGUAUUGUAAAAUAUUUGCUAAAUUUUGUGUCUAGUUUCUUUCACACAUGGAUUUUCAGGUGUUCCAGCAUUAUUUGUUGAAAAGACUAUCCUUUCCCCAUGGGAUGAACUUCUGUGAGAAAAGGAAAGAUGACUCAGGAAGGGGAGAGCAUUGUUAGGACUGAAUUGUUGGGGAAGAUGGUAAAAAAGAUGUUGGGAAAUAUCAACUGGAGGAGAGGUAAGUGGAUAAAAUAGAAACCCUUAUUAGAUUUUUCUGCACAUUUGUGCUUUGUCAAAUAAUAUAAUAAGUUCCUAAAAGUCAGAGGGUAGAUAUAAAUUAAUUGAAACAGGAGAGCACAACCCAAAA